CAGCCGCCGCGGGAAUACGUAGGGUGCGAGCGUUAAUCGGAAUUACUGGGCGUAAAGCGUGCGCAGGCGGUUAUAUAAGACAGAUGUGAAAUCCCCGGGCUCAACCUGGGACCUGCAUUUGUGACUGUAUAGCUAGAGUACGGUAGAGGGGAAUGGAAUUCCGCGUGUAGCAGUGAAAUGCGUAGAUAUGCGGAGGAACACCGAUGGCGAAGGCAACCCCCUGGACCUGUACUGACGCUCAUGCACGAAAGCGUGGGGAGCAAACAGGAUUAGAUACCCCUGUAGUCCCUGUCUCUUAUAC
Molecule: ribosomal RNA, 301 nt
Filed under: uncultured bacterium
Lineage: Bacteria
Description: partial 16S ribosomal RNA
Rfam family: Bacterial small subunit ribosomal RNA
Source: RNAcentral